GACGAAUGCUGGCUGCGUGCUUAACACAUGCAAGUCGAACGGUGAACAGGGGCUUGCCCCUGGGAUCAGUGGCGAACGGGUGAGUAACACGUGGGCAACCUGCCCCUCACUCUGGGAUAACUCCGGGAAACCGGGGCUAAUACCGGAUACGACCUGGUGCGACAUCGCACCGGGUGGAAAGAACUUCGGUGAGGGAUGGGCCCGCGGCCUAUCAGCUUGUUGGUGGGGUAACGGCCCACCAAGGCGACGACGGGUAGCCGGCCUGAGAGGGCGACCGGCCACACUGGGACUGGGACACGGCCCAGACUCCUACGGGAGGCAGCAGUGGGGAAGAUUGCGCAAUGGGCGAAAGCCUGACGCAGCGACGCAGCGUGAGGGACGAAGGCCUUCGGGUUGUAAACCUCUUUCAGCGGGGACGAAGCGCAAGUGACGGUACCCGCAGAAGAAGCACCGGCUAACUACGUGCCAGCCGCCGCAGUAA
This 481-nucleotide ribosomal RNA is filed under the name uncultured bacterium. RNAcentral's name for it is "partial 16S ribosomal RNA". It matches the Rfam family "Bacterial small subunit ribosomal RNA", at positions 28 to 523 of the family's 1533-position model. The record is from RNAcentral.